UGAUGGAUAUGAUAAUUUCUACCAGAGCAAACCUGAUAAGAAAACUGUUGGUCAUGAUGGGAAAUCAGAUGGCUCAUGGACUGGAGGAGGCUUUCUUUAAGGUUGGCCUGCGCUUCAUUCUCUGCAAAACCCUGGUUGACGCCCAGGGUUUUGUUAUUUUUUUUUUUUUUGGGAGGGGCGGCGCCGUGGGGGUGGAAGGGGGGAAUUGCUAAAACUGAUGGAUAGCUGGUUGCAGUGAUUUUGGGUUGGUGGAUUUGAAUUUACUCU
This 267-nucleotide unclassified non-coding RNA is filed under the name Hevea brasiliensis (rubber tree). The record is from RNAcentral. Lineage: Eukaryota; Viridiplantae; Streptophyta; Magnoliopsida; Malpighiales; Euphorbiaceae.